ACCGAAAGGCCUCGCGCGAUUGGAGCGGCCGAUGUCGGAUUAGCUAGUUGGUAGGGUAAAGGCCUACCAAGGCGACGAUCCGUAGCGGGUCUGAGAGGAUGAUCCGCCACACUGGGACUGAGACACGGCCCAGACUCCUACGGGAGGCAGCAGUGGGGAAUUUUGGACAAUGGGCGCAAGCCUGAUCCAGCCAUGCCGCGUGAGUGAAGAAGGCCUUCGGGUUGUAAAGCUCUUUCAGGUGGAAAGAAAACGCAUAGGUUAAUACCUUGUGUGGAUGACGGUACCAUCAGAAGAAGCACCGGCUAACUACGUGCCAGCAGCCGCGGUAAUACGUAGGGUGCGAGCGUUAAUCGGAAUUACUGGGCGUAAAGCGUGCGCAGGCGGUGAUGUAAGACAGAUGUGAAAUCCCCGGGCUCAACCUGGGAACUGCGUUUGUGACUGCAUCACUCGAGUACGGCAGAGGGAGGUGGAAUUCCGCGUGUAGCAGUGAAAUGCGUAGAUAUGCGGAGGAACACCGAUGGCGAAGG
RNAcentral lists this ribosomal RNA (527 nucleotides) under Zoogloea sp. Its description in RNAcentral is "bacterial SSU rRNA". It matches the Rfam family "Bacterial small subunit ribosomal RNA", at positions 199 to 721 of the family's 1533-position model. The record is from RNAcentral. Lineage: Bacteria; Pseudomonadati; Pseudomonadota; Betaproteobacteria; Rhodocyclales; Zoogloeaceae.